Long non-coding RNA from Aricia agestis (brown argus), 810 nucleotides. RefSeq lists it as uncharacterized. NCBI's taxonomy places the organism in Eukaryota, Metazoa, Arthropoda, Insecta, Lepidoptera, Lycaenidae. The transcript is spliced from 3 exons. The record is from RefSeq and is a predicted model, not a curated record.
GCAAUUAACUCUCCAUUAAAAUAUUAGGUAAAUGUCGCUUGAAUCAAAUAGCCUGCAGCAAAAUCUAAACAAGUUUGUAGCUUGAGUCAUUUAGCUUUGCUUUAUUCUAUGUCGUACAGUGACAUGAAGUAAAUAGUAUUUUUUGGAAAUUUGAGACCGAAGGUCGUUUGAGAUAAAUGUGACCUUUAAUUUAAAUAAAAAGCGGUUGCUUAAAUCAGUUUUCCUUUCCUAUAAUGAGCAAGAGAUGUAUGUUAAAGCAAGCAUAUUUUCCUAUGACACCGUAAGUCGAUGUCGUUUAAGACCUACCUAAAUUUCUUAGUGUUACCUUAACACUUCUAGCGAAUAGUAGGCAUGCGCUCACGCGCGGCGCUUCAGUUAGUGCCGAAACGGUCGUGUGCGAUUUUCUGGAGCUGCGCACAGGAAAACUGUUGUAAUAAGAUGGACUCACAAAGAAGCUCGUUUUUUAAAAAAGAAAUCGCAAAUGCGAUAGCAAAAUCGAAAAAAAGAAAGGAGGAGAGUUCACAUGCUUCUGAUGUAACAAUCUUAGGAAGUCAGUCCUACAACAAACAAGAUAAAGACGUAGCCAUAAUACAUUCAAGACAAUAUCUUAAUAAAACUGUAUGCAGAAAGCUCUUUACUCCUGAAGCAAAUUAUGCAACACCGAUUCCUAAGGAACUCGGAAAAAUUAAAGAAAAUGAAGAAAUUGGGAAUAAAAGCUUGAACGCAGAACUUGAUGAUACUAGUAAGCUGAUUUGCUCUGAAGUAGUGAUUGAAACACGAUGUUGAGGUAUGAACAAGAUGUUGAGGUAU